Bradysia coprophila is the source of this 519-nucleotide long non-coding RNA. The record is from RefSeq and is a predicted model, not a curated record. Lineage: Eukaryota; Metazoa; Arthropoda; Insecta; Diptera; Sciaridae.
UUAUACGAAACACACUCCGGAAUUUAAACAAAAUGAUAUCACCGCUAUCACACCAGCAAGUCACACAAAAGUAUAAAAUUUGUUGUUUUUUUAAAUGUGUUGCCUUUUAUUAAUAAAAAUGUCGUAUAUAUAUUUAUGUCCGAAGCCUAAAACCUCUAUUUGUUACUCAAAUAAAAACACGGAAAAAUAAAAUCGAAAAACGGAAAGGUCAUUUUAAUUAACCCUGUGCGGUGUAUCGUGAGGACCAUUUUAUACACAUGAUAUGGUGGCUGGUACAAGCCGUAUGGGUAAAUCGUGUGAAAUAUAUAUAUUUUUGAGCAAAAACAAUGGACGAUCGAUCUACGCGUAUCGAAUAUCAAUUACUCAGUCUCACGUACAUAUAAAUAUGUUUGUACGAAGAAAAAAAAUGUACGUUACAUACAGACUGAAUGUGGACACAUAUCGGGUAGGCAUUUUAUAUAUAAUUUAUAUAUUGUAAAAUGAAGUUAAAGUGAUUCAAAAUAAAAAUACGAAACCAAA